Molecule: ribosomal RNA, 458 nt
Filed under: uncultured bacterium
Lineage: Bacteria
Description: bacterial SSU rRNA
Rfam family: Bacterial small subunit ribosomal RNA
Source: RNAcentral
CGGCGGACGGGUGAGUAACGCGUGGGUAACCUACCCCAAAGUCCGGGAUAACAGCGGGAAACCGCUGCUAAUACCGGAUGUCUUUACCUUGGGGCAUCUUGAGGUAAAGAAAGGUAACGCUUUGGGAUGGGCCCGCGUCCCAUUAGCUAGUUGGUGAGGUAACGGCUCACCAAGGCGACGAUGGGUAGCCGGCCUGAGAGGGUGGACGGCCACACUGGGACUGAGACACGGCCCAGACUCCUACGGGAGGCAGCAGUAGGGAAUAUUGCGCAAUGGACGGAAGUCUGACGCAGCGACGCCGCGUGAGCGAUGAAGGUCUUCGGAUCGUAAAGCUCUGUCCUCGGGGAAGAAGGUCUUCGGACUUGACGGUACCCAAGAAGAAAGCCCCGGCUAACUACGUGCCAGCAGCCGCGGUAAUACGUAGGGGGCGAGCGUUGUCCGGAAUUACUGGGCGUAAA